AAGUCGUAACAAGGUCUCCGUUGGUGAACCAGCGGAGGGAUCAUUACCGAGUUUACAACUCCCAAACCCAAUGUGAACGUUACCAAACUGUUGCCUCGGCGGGAUCUCUGCCCCGGGUGCGUCGCAGCCCCGGACCAAGGCGCCCGCCGGAGGACCAACCAAAACUCUUAUUGUAUACCCCCUCGCGGGUUUUUUUAUAAUCUGAGCCUUCUCGGCGCCUCUCGUAGGCGUUUCGAAAAUGAAUCAAAACUUUCAACAACGGAUCUCUUGGUUCUGGCAUCGAUGAAGAACGCAGCGAAAUGCGAUAAGUAAUGUGAAUUGCAGAAUUCAGUGAAUCAUCGAAUCUUUGAACGCACAUUGCGCCCGCCAGUAUUCUGGCGGGCAUGCCUGUCCGAGCGUCAUUUCAACCCUCGAACCCCUCCGGGGGGUCGGCGUUGGGGAUCGGCCCUGCCUUGGCGGUGGCCGUCUCCGAAAUACAGUGGCGGUCUCGCCGCAGCCUCUCCUGCGCAGUAGUUUGCACACUCGCAUCGGGAGCGCGGCGCGUCCACAGCCGUUAAACACCCAACUUCUGAAAUGUUGACCUCGGAUCAGGUAGGAAUACCCGCUGAACUUAAGCAU
RNAcentral lists this ribosomal RNA (618 nucleotides) under Trichoderma harzianum. Its description in RNAcentral is "eukaryotic LSU rRNA". The stretch from base 248 to 401 matches the Rfam family "5.8S ribosomal RNA". The record is from RNAcentral. Lineage: Eukaryota; Fungi; Ascomycota; Sordariomycetes; Hypocreales; Hypocreaceae.